This 444-nucleotide ribosomal RNA is filed under the name Halomonas sp. M15-C17. RNAcentral's name for it is "bacterial SSU rRNA". It matches the Rfam family "Bacterial small subunit ribosomal RNA", at positions 1 to 449 of the family's 1533-position model. The record is from RNAcentral. Lineage: Bacteria; Pseudomonadati; Pseudomonadota; Gammaproteobacteria; Oceanospirillales; Halomonadaceae.
UUGAGUUUGAUCAUGGCUCAGAUUGAACGCUGGCGGCAGGCCUAACACAUGCAAGUCGAGCGGAAACGAUGGAAGCUUGMUUCCAGGCGUCGAGCGGCGGACGGGUGAGUAAUGCAUGGGAAUCUGCCCGAUAGUGGGGGAUAACCUGGGGAAACCCAGGCUAAUACCGCAUACGUCCUACGGGAGAAAGCAGGGGAUCUUCGGACCUUGCGCUAUCGGAUGAGCCCAUGUCGGAUUAGCUUGUUGGUGAGGUAAUGGCUCACCAAGGCGACGAUCCGUAGCUGGUCUGAGAGGAUGAUCAGCCACAUCGGGACUGAGACACGGCCCGAACUCCUACGGGAGGCAGCAGUGGGGAAUAUUGGACAAUGGGCGAAAKCCUGAUCCAGCCAUGCCGCGUGUGUGAAGAAGGCCCUCGGGUUGUAAAGCACUUUCAGUGGGGAAGAA